Molecule: long non-coding RNA, 1197 nt
Filed under: Callithrix jacchus (white-tufted-ear marmoset)
Lineage: Eukaryota; Metazoa; Chordata; Mammalia; Primates; Cebidae
Description: lncRNA (ENSCJAG00000081925.1)
Source: RNAcentral
AUGCAGGAAGCAUGGACGUCAGGCCCGGCAGCCAUUAGGGGUGUGCUGGAAAUGUGUCCAAGCCCGCACCUCCCUUCCUGCUGCUCCCAGGGAGAAGGCAGCCUAUGGGCGAGCUGGAGGCAGCAGGGCCGGGCCAGCCACAUGGGGAGCCGGGAGCCCGCUCACAGCUGCCUUCUCACGACGCCUUGCCGUCCGCCAGGGGGCGCUGCCAGGGCUGGGAUUCCUACAGCCAGGUCAGGAAGAGCCAGGGCGGCAGGUGUCUUGAGUGGAGCGCCGCCUCUCACUGGGGUUGGACGAGAGGCCGGGAAAAACCAGCGAGCAGGAGCAGGCAAACCCAACACGGGCUUUCUCAGUAAGUUCUCUUGGAGCCGUCUGGAGCCACAAGGCGUCGUCCCACUAACUCGGAGAAAUGAACCCCUCCCGGGGGCAGGAAGAAACACUUUCCCUGGACCCACAGUGAAGCCGCCUGCGUGCAGCAGUGACUCAGGUGUAGUGGGGUGGCUACAGCAGCCUCUGCCUAAAACGGCGCUUUCAAAGCCCCAGAAACAAACUGUACCGUCGGUCUUGGAGCCACCAAACCCAGGGCUCAAGAGUCCAGCAGGGUGUGCGAAACAUCGGAGCCGCUGGAGGGCAGCAGAGAGCGCCCCAACCCCCAGCACAUUCCCCCACGAAGAAUCACAGCACAGCGCUGACUCCAGGUUUCACUUUAAUAGAAUACUCUUAACUAUUCUGUACAAACUGAAAACACUGUAUCGAGUUACAAAUGUUCUAAGGUUAGGCUGUGCGGACACGGCCAUCCUCGGCUGCCAGAGUGCGCCAUCACCCAGUGGAAACCCCACCCGCCAGCCGCCAACAGGGCACACCAAAGCCAGGACCCUCAGACAGGAUGAAUGGUGGGGCCGAGCAAUGCGGCUACUGAGAAAGCGGGACUUGACGCUCAUACGCUCAAGUGAAACAGGCUGCCCAGCCCAGUCCCCCGCCGGAGACGACCACCGAAUGCCGGCUCCGGUGGCAGGGUGGGGCCUGACGGGCUCGUCUUCAGCCCUGGUGGCAGGGAGCAACGUUUCUUCUGCACAGGCCUCACUCCUGCUACGAAGUGGCACAUCUUCCUGCCCAGGUCACCGAGGUGGUUCAGAAACGGUAAGGACGAGUGACAGCGAAAGGCCACAGUCCUCACAGGUAAGAAGGGAUCAAUAA